ACGGUAUAGCCGUUUUUUUACCCCGGCGUCGUAGAAACUAGCAUAUCAAUAAGCGGAGGAAAAGAAACCAACAGGGAUUGCCCUAGUAACGGCGAGUGAAGCGGCAACAGCUCAAAUUUGAAAUCUGGCUCUUUCAGAGUCCGAGUUGUAAUUUGCAGAGGGCGCUUUGGCUUUGGCAGCGGUCCAAGUUCCUUGGAACAGGACGUCACAGAGGGUGAGAAUCCCGUACGUGGUCGCUAGCUAUUGCCGUGUAAAGCCCCUUCGACGAGUCGAGUUGUUUGGGAAUGCAGCUCUAAAUGGGAGGUAAAUUUCUUCUAAAGCUAAAUAUUGGCCAGAGACCGAUAGCGCACAAGUAGAGUGAUCGAAAGAUGAAAAGCACUUUGGAAAGAGAGUCAAACAGCACGUGAAAUUGUUGAAAGGGAAGCGCUUGCAGCCAGACUUGCUUGCAGUUGCUCAUCCGGGCUUUUGCCCGGUGCACUCUUCUGUAGGCAGGCCAGCAUCAGUUUGGGCGGUGGGAUAAAGGUCUCUGUCACGUACCUUCCUUCGGGUUGGCCUUAUAGGGGAGACGCCAUACCACCAGCCUGGACUGAGGUCCGCGCAUCUGCUAGGAUGCUGGCGUAAUGGCUGUAAGCGGCCCGUCUUGAAACACGGACCAAGGAGUCUAACAUCUAUGCGAGUGUUUGGGUGUCAAGCCCGAACGCGUAAUGAAAGUGAACGGAGGUGGGAACCCGCAAGGGUGCACCAUCGACCGAUCCUGAAGUUUACGGAAGGAUUUGAGUAAGAGCAUGGCUGUUGGGACCCGAAAGAUGGUGAACUAUGCUUGAAUAGGGUGAAGCCAGAGGAAACUCUGGUGGAGGCUCGCAGCGGUUCUGACGUGCAAAUCGAUCGUCAAAUUUGGGCAUAGGGCGAAAGACUAAUCGAACAUCCAGCGCUC
RNAcentral lists this ribosomal RNA (934 nucleotides) under Curvularia pallescens. RNAcentral's name for it is "partial large subunit ribosomal RNA". It matches the Rfam family "Eukaryotic large subunit ribosomal RNA", at positions 1 to 953 of the family's 3401-position model. The record is from RNAcentral. Lineage: Eukaryota; Fungi; Ascomycota; Dothideomycetes; Pleosporales; Pleosporaceae.